CCAGCUGCAACAUCACCCGCUGCGGACAGCAAUGACGACUUCGAGUCACCGCUUCCAGUACCAUUCGCGGAAGUUUAAAAAAAACAACCUACAACAACUGAUACAACACACCGUGACUCCGCCGACGACGACUUCGUGACCCAACCACCAAUCACAAAUCCAGCAGCUGCCAAAUCACAGCCGGUCCGCGACGAUGUUGACAAAGAACCCCAACAACCAGACGGAAAAAGACGUAAGUCAACAACAACUAGGAGGAAGUCGACCAGACCACCGGCGUCAUUUCCAUCAAAAAAAUAUGAGCCAUUCACUGGGCCAAAAAUUAAACUGAAGACGUCUUCGGUUAACCUUGUUAUAUUGGUCAACAACCUGAAUAAGGCGCAAAAAAAGAAUGUAGCAGAAAUGGGGUUCGAUCUGUUGUUUAAUUUCAACAUAUGACAUGUACCGACCCGGCUUGCAUAUUGGUUGGCAAGCAACUAUGACGACAACGCAGGAGUGUUGAACGUUGGCGAAAACCGUGUACGGGUCACAGGAGAGUUGGUGCAUAAAAUAUUCAGAAUACCAAUAAGGGGUAUAAAUAUUGUAGAAAAAAUCAGAGCACGGGACUGCAAUCCAGUUGUGAAGGAAUGGAGGGACCAGUUCAAGGAUUAUACUAAAGUGUCACCACUCGGACUGAUGGACAUGAUGGUUUCCGACACUUCAAGUGACCGGGUGUUUGGAUUGAACUGGUUGGUGUUGUUUAAUAAUGUGUUGGGGGAGAUAAGCGCAUGCAACAGAGUUAAUUAGCGAUUCUUGGGAUGCGUGGACCGAAAUAUUCAAAUAUCAAGCUUUGAUUGGUGCAGCUACAUGAUAACCUGUUUAGAACGCACAGCGAAUGCAUGAAACCGGAAGAGGAAUGGCCCUUUUAGAGGCCCGAUCGUGUUACUAGCGGCUGCAUAUGCGUACGACCGUAGGGAUGUAUUGAACUGUGAUAAGAAAGGAUCAAAAUCGAUUGAGUUGAUAGAUGAUGCGAUGCUCGAUGAACUGCUCGGAAAGAUUGACGACAAACUUUUUGCAGAACACCUAAAGCAUAACACCCCAAUGAUACCUAAACCUCAUGUAGAUAAAAAAAAUCAUCAUCCACCAACGCUAAAAAUGCAGAAAGGGCAGCUGAAAAAAGUGCGGGAGACAAUGUGGAGGGGGCAACGAAGACUACAGACCGUACGAUGAAGGGGAUGACGACCACCUGGGAAUAUUCAAACAUUGCAAAGAUUAUCUGUUGUCGCAGACAAGUACACAAGAGUUGGGGGUUUUAGUUGGGCCAGAUGGCGAGUUUCGGGUCCCAAUGGUAUCACAGUAUGGGACGUCGCCCGUCUCGUCAUAGGAAGAAAAAGAAAGUGAAGAGAUACAGAACUUGAUAAACUUUUUAACAUUUGGAUCAUGCGCAUAUUCUGGAUGAUGCAUUUAAGGAAUUUGAAGAUUGCAUGGAGAAGGUCAAAAACACACUGUCAGAACCUUAACAUUUGUACCCAAACAGUGACCUCAUAUUGAGUAGGAAAGCGUCAUGGAUUGCGAUGGUCCGCAAACAUCUGAAGGACGUUGCGAAUGAUGCGGAAGGCGAUGUUAUGUCAGAAAAAAACCCCACACAUGUCAAGAACACUGGAUUGUUGCCUCAAGGUAAUCUAACUCCUUUCUCGCCCAUGACUUCGUCGUUUUGCGCAGAAGUGGAUGAAUUGAUAUCUGCAAUACAAUCCAUACGACACCCAGGCACACGAUCGAAAGCUGGGGGCAUCCAACCAGUGAACUGGACAACGUCCCAACAACGUCAAGUAUUCGUGACACUGAAAAUGAAGGAAAUGCUUUAUUGCAAUAUAAUCUCCGGAGGCCAAAAAGAAACACAAAUCUUCCGGAUACGCUGAGGUCUCCGUACGUGCAUCGUGUGGUUUCCUUAACAAAUAAACUGGAUCAUUUGGAAGCUGCAUUGGCUAGCUGUAUACUCAGCGCAACAGGAAACAAAUGGGAGCCUAUAUUCGAUUGCCCACCAGGUGUUUUGAUUUUGAGAGGCUCGUUUGAGACGAUCUACCCGGAAUUAUGCUUGGAUGCAGAUAUUAUAACAGCAUGGGCUGCCGUCCUUAACUACGAGGAGCGGUUAAGGGCACCGGGUACCGCUGCAAGGCUGUUUUGCAAUGUCGGGAUGUUGGUAAUGCACGUAUCACACUUUAUAACACUAUAUGAGAAUGUAGGAUUGUAUAUAACAAUACAACACUAAAAAAAGUUAGUACACUGUGUGUAGAU
Long non-coding RNA from Helianthus annuus (common sunflower), 2271 nucleotides. RefSeq lists it as uncharacterized. Lineage: Eukaryota; Viridiplantae; Streptophyta; Magnoliopsida; Asterales; Asteraceae. The transcript has 6 exons. The record is from RefSeq and is a predicted model, not a curated record.